GAGGGCAAGCAGAAAUGUCAGAACACUGCUCUGUAGCAGCACUGCUCACCCCCGUACUUCUGCUCGGAUAUGACUGGACACUGAGCCCUGGAGAGGUCCCAUCAGCGGAAGAGGUCUGGGCAGUGCACCCCAUCCAAGGAGGUGACGCUCGGGAUGCCCUUUCUAUCCCCUCCCAAAGCAGCUGAGGAGCUCUUAUUACAGAACAGACAACACCAGCAGGUUGUGCUCGUCAGUGCUUGCUAAUGAAACUGGAAUCAGGCUGGACUUCCCAGGAAGAGCUGCUGUGCUGGUGAGGCUGCACUUGGGAGCCAGUUGCCGCUUCAGUUCUUCAAUCUGCUGGGUGAAAGCCUGCUUCCCUCUAGACAGCUGGGAAAUUAAGACUCUGCACUCUUCAGCAAGGGCUUGAUCUUGAAGAACAGCUUCAUCCAUGGCCAGUGUUUGACAUUCAUGAAUGCACGGAUGUUGUACUGGAUGCAGAAGAUGGAUUCCCUGAAAGAUAAGUCAAAUUAAUAUUCAAUAUUUAUACCAUGAUGACACAGUAAUAAGCCAAGUACAGUGAACCUAAUUUGAAGAGAAGUCUACCUCCUCUCCACCAUUCUCUGGUACUCCACUCUCAUCAGGAAGCCCCUGCACCUGGCCUGGGUGCGGGUGAUGAGCUGUGCCAGCUUCUCGUCCCUCAUCUCUUCCAAGAGUCCCACCAGCCCAGCUUUGAAGAACACCUUAGGACUCUGUUGGGAAAUCCUUUCCUGCAAAUCCUGAUCCCUUCCAGCACGCCGUUACAGCGCAGCUGAUGCAGCACCAGCUCGUGCUCCAUGGCACCUGGCAAUGCAGAGCACAAAUACAUGCCAUGUUCUGGAAUACAGUGGGGAAGAGCUGCACCAUGCUGAAAACCUUCAAU
Molecule: long non-coding RNA, 898 nt
Organism: Corvus hawaiiensis (hawaiian crow)
Lineage: Eukaryota; Metazoa; Chordata; Aves; Passeriformes; Corvidae
Exons: 6
Source: RefSeq, a predicted model, not a curated record